UACGUAGGGGGCGAGCGUUGUCCGGAUUUACUGGGCGUAAAGGGUGAGUAGGCGGUUAUAUAUGUCAGGUGUAAAAAGCUAUGGCUUAACCAUAGUAAGCACUUGAAACUGUAUGACUUGAGUGCAGGAGAGGUAAGCGGAAUUCCUAGUGUAGCGGUGAAAUGCGUAGAUAUUAGGAGGAACACCGGUGGCGAAGGCGGCUUACUGGACUGUAACUGACGCUGAGUCACGAAAGCGUGGGUAGCAAACAGGAUUAGAAACCCUAGUAGUCC
Molecule: ribosomal RNA, 272 nt
Filed under: uncultured prokaryote
Description: partial 16S ribosomal RNA
Rfam family: Bacterial small subunit ribosomal RNA
Source: RNAcentral